This 248-nucleotide ribosomal RNA is filed under the name uncultured Actinomycetales bacterium. RNAcentral's name for it is "partial 16S ribosomal RNA". It matches the Rfam family "Bacterial small subunit ribosomal RNA", at positions 82 to 334 of the family's 1533-position model. The record is from RNAcentral. Lineage: Bacteria; Bacillati; Actinomycetota; Actinomycetes; Actinomycetales.
CUUGGGUACUCGAGUGGCGAACGGGUGAGUAACACGUGGGUGAUCUGCCCUGCACUUCGGGAUAAGCCUGGGAAACUGGGUCUAAUACCGGAUAGGACCACAUUUUGGAUGGUGUGGUGGAAAGUUUUUCGGUGUGGGGUGAGCUCGCGGCCUAUCAGCUUGUUGGUGGGGUAAUGGCCUACCAAGGCGUCGACGGGUAGCCGGCCUGAGAGGGUGUACGGCCACAUUGGGACUGAGAUACGGCCCAG